CAGGGGCACCAGUGAUGUCAUCAGAGAUGGUGACGUCACUGGGGCUGCUGUGAUGUCAUCGGGGAUGGUGACAUCACCGGGGACGCUGUGAUGUCAUCGGGGACAAC
Molecule: long non-coding RNA, 107 nt
Organism: Corapipo altera (White-ruffed manakin)
Lineage: Eukaryota; Metazoa; Chordata; Aves; Passeriformes; Pipridae
Exons: 3
Source: RefSeq, a predicted model, not a curated record